GAUGAACGCUGGCGGCAGGCUUUACACAUGCAAGUCGAGCGGUGAUUCUAUUGUAGCAAUACAGUAAAUGAUCAGCGGCGAACGGGUGAGUAACGCGUAGGAACUUUCUCUAAGUUUGGCAUAGCUAGUCGAAAGAUUAGGUAAUUCCAAAUGUGAUCGUAAGAUUAAAGGUGCAAAUCGCUUAGAGUGAGGCCUGCGUCCCAUCAGCUAGUUGGUAAGGUAAUGGCUUACCAAGGCGUAGACGGGUAGCUGGUCUGAGAGGACGAUCAGCCACACUGGAACUGAGACACGGUCCAGACACCUACGGGUGGCAGCAGUGGGGAAUUUUUCGGGCAAUGGGGGCAACCCUGACCGAGCCAUGCCGCGUGAAGGAUGAAGGGCCUUCGGGUUGUAAACUUCUGUGGUAGUUAACUAAAUAAAUGAAAGUGACUACUAGAAAGAUGUUGCUAAACUCUAGUGCCAGCCGCCGCGGGUAAAC
Molecule: ribosomal RNA, 478 nt
Filed under: uncultured bacterium
Lineage: Bacteria
Description: bacterial SSU rRNA
Rfam family: Bacterial small subunit ribosomal RNA
Source: RNAcentral